GGUGAACGCUGGCGGCGUGCCUAACACAUGCAAGUCGAGCGGUGCAGUUUGAAGCUUCGGUGGAAAGCUGCAUAGCGGCGGACGGGUGAGGAAAACGUAGGAACGUGCCCCUUGGAGUUGGAUAGCCACGGGAAACUGUGGGUAAACCGACAUAGACUCGAGAGAGUAAAGGCCGAAAGGCGCCAAGGGAGCGGCCUGCGGCCCAUCAGGUAGUUGGUAGUGUAAAGGACUACCAAGCCGACGACGGGUAGCCGGUCUGAGAGGAUGGCCGGCCACAAGGGCACUGAGAGACGGGCCCUACUCCUACGGGAGGCAGCAGUGGGGGAUUUUGGACAAUGGGCGAAAAGCCUGAUCCAGCGACGCCGCGUGGAGGACGAAGCCCUUCGGGGUGUAAACUCCUUUUCUCAGGGAAAAAAGGAUGAUGGUACCUGAGGAAUAAGCCCCGGCUAACUACGUG
This 457-nucleotide ribosomal RNA is filed under the name uncultured bacterium. RNAcentral's name for it is "bacterial SSU rRNA". It matches the Rfam family "Bacterial small subunit ribosomal RNA", at positions 28 to 507 of the family's 1533-position model. The record is from RNAcentral.